This 1322-nucleotide ribosomal RNA is filed under the name Mycobacterium sp. DWMJ-1478A1. RNAcentral's name for it is "bacterial SSU rRNA". It matches the Rfam family "Bacterial small subunit ribosomal RNA", at positions 93 to 1428 of the family's 1533-position model. The record is from RNAcentral. Lineage: Bacteria; Bacillati; Actinomycetota; Actinomycetes; Mycobacteriales; Mycobacteriaceae.
GAGUGNCGAACGGGUGAGUAACGCGUGGGUGAUCUGCCCUGCACUUUGGGAUAAGCCUGGGAAACUGGGUCUAAUACCGAAUAGGACCACGCGCUUCAUGGUGUGUGGUGGAAAGCUUUUGCGGUGUGGGAUGGGCCCGCGGCCUAUCAGCUUGUUGGUGGGGUAAUGGCCUACCAAGGCGACGACGGGUAGCCGGCCUGAGAGGGUGACCGGCCACACUGGGACUGAGAUACGGCCCAGACUCCUACGGGAGGCAGCAGUGGGGAAUAUUGCACAAUGGGCGCAAGCCUGAUGCAGCGACGCCGCGUGAGGGAUGACGGCCUUCGGGUUGUAAACCUCUUUCAAUAGGGACGAAGCGCAAGUGACGGUACCUAUAGAAGAAGCACCGGCCAACUACGUGCCAGCAGCCGCGGUAAUACGUAGGGUGCGAGCGUUGUCCGGAAUUACUGGGCGUAAAGAGCUCGUAGGUGGUUUGUCGCGUUGUUCGUGAAAACUCACAGCUUAACUGUGGGCGUGCGGGCGAUACGGGCAGACUAGAGUACUGCAGGGGAGACUGGAAUUCCUGGUGUAGCGGUGGAAUGCGCAGAUAUCAGGAGGAACACCGGUGGCGAAGGCGGGUCUCUGGGCAGUAACUGACGCUGAGGAGCGAAAGCGUGGGGAGCGAACAGGAUUAGAUACCCUGGUAGUCCACGCNGUAAACGGUGGGUACUAGGUGUGGGUUCCUUCCUUGGGAUCCGUGCCGUAGCUAACGCAUUAAGUACCCCGCCUGGGGAGUACGGCCGCAAGGCUAAAACUCAAAGGAAUUGACGGGGGCCCGCACAAGCGGCGGAGCAUGUGGAUUAAUUCGAUGCAACGCGAAGAACCUUACCUGGGUUUGACAUGCACAGGACGCCGGCAGAGAUGUCGGUUCCCUUGUGGCCUGUGUGCAGGUGGUGCAUGGCUGUCGUCAGCUCGUGUCGUGAGAUGUUGGGUUAAGUCCCGCAACGAGCGCAACCCUUGUCCUAUGUUGCCAGCGGGUUAUGCCGGGGACUCGUAGGAGACUGCCGGGGUCAACUCGGAGGAAGGUGGGGAUGACGUCAAGUCAUCAUGCCCCUUAUGUCCAGGGCUUCACACAUGCUACAAUGGCCGGUACAAAGGGCUGCGAUGCCGUGAGGUGGAGCGAAUCCUUUCAAAACCGGUCUCAGUUCGGAUCGGGGUCUGCAACUCGACCCCGUGAAGUCGGAGUCGCUAGUAAUCGCAGAUCAGCAACGCUGCGGUGAAUACGUUCCCGGGCCUUGUACACACCGCCCGUCACGUCAUNAAAGUCGGUAACACCCGAAGCC